This 1026-nucleotide ribosomal RNA is filed under the name Salmonella enterica subsp. enterica serovar Limete. Its description in RNAcentral is "partial 23S ribosomal RNA". It matches the Rfam family "Bacterial large subunit ribosomal RNA", at positions 711 to 1735 of the family's 2925-position model. Lineage: Bacteria; Pseudomonadati; Pseudomonadota; Gammaproteobacteria; Enterobacterales; Enterobacteriaceae. The record is from RNAcentral.
AGACCCGAAACCCGGUGAUCUAGCCAUGGGCAGGUUGAAGGUUGGGUAACACUAACUGGAGGACCGAACCGACUAAUGUUGAAAAAUUAGCGGAUGACCUGUGGCUGGGGGUGAAAGGCCAAUCAAACCGGGAGAUAGCUGGUUCUCCCCGAAAGCUAUUUAGGUAGCGCCUCGUGAAUUCAUCUCCGGGGGUAGAGCACUGUUUCGGCUAGGGGGCCAUCCCGGCUUACCAACCCGAUGCAAACUGCGAAUACCGGAGAAUGUUAUCACGGGAGACACACGGCGGGUGCUAACGUCCGUCGUGAAGAGGGAAACAACCCAGACCGCCAGCUAAGGUCCCAAAGUCAUGGUUAAGUGGGAAACGAUGUGGGAAGGCCCAGACAGCCAGGAUGUUGGCUUAGAAGCAGCCAUCAUUUAAAGAAAGCGUAAUAGCUCACUGGUCGAGUCGGCCUGCGCGGAAGAUGUAACGGGGCUAAACCAUGCACCGAAGCUGCGGCAGCGACACUGUGUGUUGUUGGGUAGGGGAGCGUUCUGUAAGCCUGCGAAGGUGGCCUGUGAGGGUUGCUGGAGGUAUCAGAAGUGCGAAUGCUGACAUAAGUAACGAUAAAGCGGGUGAAAAGCCCGCUCGCCGGAAGACCAAGGGUUCCUGUCCAACGUUAAUCGGGGCAGGGUGAGUCGACCCCUAAGGCGAGGCCGAAAGGCGUAGUCGAUGGGAAACGGGUUAAUAUUCCCGUACUUGGUGUUACUGCGAAGGGGGGACGGAGAAGGCUAUGUUGGCCGGGCGACGGUUGUCCCGGUUUAAGCGUGUAGGUGUGUGUUCCAGGUAAAUCCGGUUCACUUUAACACUGAGGCGUGACGACGAGGCACUACGGUGCUGAAGCAACAAAUGCCCUGCUUCCAGGAAAAGCCUCUAAGCAUCAGGUAACAUCAAAUCGUACCCCAAACCGACACAGGUGGUCAGGUAGAGAAUACCAAGGCGCUUGAGAGAACUCGGGUGAAGGAACUAGGCAAAAUGGUGCCGUAACU